GAAUUCCUUCUUUAAUAACUUCUUACAGUAGUUAAAUCGAUUACAAAUGUUAAUAUUACUUUUAACUGAUAUUUAUUUUCUCUAAAAUUUAAAAUUACAAAUCUAAUUUAUCUGUUCACACAAAUAGGAUAUUGUUCUCUUAGCUUUUGCGGAUGAUGUUAUUCUUUUUGCGAAGGCUACUCUUGACCAGGUCUAUUUGGUUAAGAAUAUUUUAGAUUUGUUUUGCAGGAGUUCGGGGCAGACAAUAAAUCUCCAAUUAUGUUGGAAGACACUUGAGCAACAAGUUAGUGAUGAGAAGGAGAUACCAUGGACUGAGGACUAGGAUAAGAAGAGUGACUCCGAGAUGAUGUUGCCAAGGUAUGUCAUGCAAACUACACUCCUACCCAAAUCCACUCGUGAUGAUGUUGAUAAAGUCUACAGGAAUUUCAUUUGGGGUCAUAGCUCAAUGGACAAAAGAUGCAUCUAGUGUCAUGAGACAAGAUCAGCACUCACAAGGAGCAGGGAGGGCUAGGCUUGAGGAAAAUGAGAUAUGAUGAGAGCCAAUUGGAGAUUCUCCUGUUUGGGCUCCUUUUAUCAGGAGCAAGUAUCGUUGUGGCUCUAGUAUUCUGCCAAUGCUCAAUAAGCAAACACAAAUAAAAAACUUUUGGCGGGGUAUUUGUUCUAUUUGGGACACAUUCUGUCAGAAUAUCAUUCGAAGUUACCAUCACCUUGAUAAAAUUUUGGAACGAUGCUUGGAUUCCAAGCUGUGGCAGAUUGGUGGAUGUAGCUGCUAGUAACACUCCCCAUUAUGAGCUUCAAAAAUCUGUGGCUGAGUAUAUUGAUGUGAAUGGUUGUUGGCAAAUUCAUACAAUUAAGGAUUAUCUUUCCCCUAAUGUUGUGAAGAUGGUAACAGAUAUGGAAGUUAGUUACAAUACUGACCGAGCAGAUAGUAUAGCAUGGAGAGGAAGUCUAGUGAUGGAGUGUGCUUUAUGAAAUAUGUGUAUGAGGUGAAUGGUGUAGCAACUCACAAGAAUCAUGCUCUCUUCAUGGAGAUGAGGAAGUGGAAGGAUCCUGAAUAUGCAAAGGGCUUUCUUUGAAAGAUCAGCCAAGAAUGCAUUCUCACUAAUUUUAGGACAAUGCUUUUUGGUUUAAGCCCUUCAAAUUUAUGUCCUAUUUGUGAUGAUUAUGAGGAACCAUUCACACAAAAAUAUAUCAAAAGACAAAAAAAUUAUUUUAUUA
Molecule: long non-coding RNA, 1218 nt
Organism: Glycine soja
Lineage: Eukaryota; Viridiplantae; Streptophyta; Magnoliopsida; Fabales; Fabaceae
Exons: 2
Source: RefSeq, a predicted model, not a curated record